Oxyura jamaicensis (ruddy duck) is the source of this 266-nucleotide long non-coding RNA. RefSeq lists it as uncharacterized. Lineage: Eukaryota; Metazoa; Chordata; Aves; Anseriformes; Anatidae. The transcript is spliced from 2 exons. The record is from RefSeq and is a predicted model, not a curated record.
GUCAUCGCCAUGGUAACAUGCACUGAAACAGAGCACAUCAAAUAAUUAUUCACUUGGAAAAAAAAAUGGGUAUGUAUACUUAUCUCCUACUCUCCGUCUCCAAAAUCUUAGACGCUACAGAAAUCACAGGAAAAUCACUGUUCUUUAUAUAUAAGAAACUCCAUUAAAAACAAACAAACAAACAAACAAAACCACUGUUUUAUAAAACUAUCCCAAGUUACCAGGACUUACUACCCACUCCUACCCACUCUCUAACACAAAACAAA